GACGAACGCUGGCGGCGUGCUUAACACAUGCAAGUCGAACGGUAAGGCCCUGCCUUUGUGGGGUGCUCGAGUGGCGAACGGGUGAGUAACACGUGAGUAACCUGCCCUUGACUUUGGGAUAACUUCAGGAAACUGGAGCUAAUACCGGAUAGGAGCUCCUGCUGCAUGGUGGGGGCUGGAAAGUUUCGGUGGUUGGGGUUGGACUCGCGGCUUAUCAGCUUGUUGGUGGGGUAGUGGCUUACCAAGGCUUUGACGGGUAGCCGGCCUGGGAGGGUGACCGGGCACAUGGGGACUGAGAGACGGCCCAGACGGCUACGGGAGGCAGCAGUGGGGAACAUUGCACAAUGGGCGGAAGCCUGAUGCAGCAACGUCGCGUGCGGGAGGACGGUCUUCGGGGUGUAAACCGCUUUCGCCUGUGACGAAGCGUGAGUGACGGUAACGUGUAAAGAAGCACCGGCUAACUACGUG
RNAcentral lists this ribosomal RNA (468 nucleotides) under uncultured bacterium. Its description in RNAcentral is "partial 16S ribosomal RNA". It matches the Rfam family "Bacterial small subunit ribosomal RNA", at positions 28 to 507 of the family's 1533-position model. The record is from RNAcentral.